This is a long non-coding RNA of Apodemus sylvaticus (European woodmouse), 3507 nucleotides long. RefSeq lists it as uncharacterized. The record is from RefSeq and is a predicted model, not a curated record. Lineage: Eukaryota; Metazoa; Chordata; Mammalia; Rodentia; Muridae. The transcript has 3 exons.
AGUAGGUGUGGCCUUGUUGGAGGAAGUGUGUCACUGUGGGGGUGGGCUUUGUGGUCUCCUGUGCUCAGGCUACAUCUAGACAGUCUCAUUCGUGCUGCCUGCAGAUCAAGAUGUAGAACUCUCAGUUCUGUCUCCAGCACCAUGUCUGUCUGGAUGCCGCCAUGCUUCCCACCAUGAUGGUAAUGGAAUAAACCUCUGAAACUGUAAGCCAGCCCCAAUGUUAGCCUUUAUAAGAGUUGCCUUGGACACAGUGUCUCUUCACAGCAACAAAACCGUGUCUAAGACAGGUGAUACCUGUGGCAGAAUUUUCUCUGUCCAAUUAAUUUACAUAUUAGUGUAUCAGGAGGCGUGUGAUUGGACAGGGAAAAGGAAAGCAAAGCUAAGAGUUGGAAAGGCAGGACAGAGAAGAGAGAGAGAGAGGAGAGAGGAAGAUGGAGGGAGAGGAAGAAGAUUCAGAUUCUGCACGGCGUUAAAUAGUCACAGAUCACCAGAGAACUCCAUGAUGCUCAGUCCAAGCCACUCCGCUGGGUCCUAAUUGUAGCAGGCUCUCCGCUGUUCCUACACGGCACCCUUGACCCCCAGCUUCUGGGCCUCUCUUUGUGAGGCCAAUCUGUGGUCUCAGCCUGAACAUGGCCCAUGUGUAAAUUUGACUUGCAACUGUUCAGGUCCUACCUAUGAGGGUGCUUCAAGGGACAGAGCAGAAUCCUGAGGCAAGAUAGAUGUUCUGACAGAUGUCCCAGGAAUCCUUGUGCCUCCUACCCAGGUAGUAUGAUUGGAAAGCAACUCCCCUGUCCAAAUUCUGGGAAGGAGUCAGCCAUCCUGGACUCAUGGUGGGGAGUGAUUGGUCCCUGGCCUCUGACACUGUGGAUGGGUGGCCUAGGCAGGCUCCUGGCCUCUGACACUGUGGAUGGGUGGCCUGUGUAGCCUCCCAGGAUCGGGCACUGUAGGUGAGUAGCCAAAACUUUUCUCUCAGGCCCCAGCUGAGCUCCUGAGAGUCUCAGCUACUCAGAUGCAGAGAGGCAAGGACUCGAGUGCUCCUUCUGUAGAUAGGAAAAUUUUGUUGCAAAUUUAUAAUUCUCCACCACCUUCUCUGGGAAGCUGAGUCCCAGAAGCCCUUGGCUCUGUCGCUUUGAAGGAUGACAAGGCAAAGAGAGGGUGAGGCUGGAGAAUAGGGAAUUAGGUAGAGAUUUCACAGAUUAACAUUUGACAGGUAGCAGCAUCAGCAUCAAAAGACUAGAAGAUCCAGUCCCACCUGGGCUUCAUUCAACCAAAGGAAAUGCUCACAAACUCCCAGCUACUUUAUAUAAACUUGGGAAGGGCAGGUACUAUGUAAAUGAUGCACAGAAGGUUACACCAGGCCACCCUUGCCUCCCCUCUCUCCCUUUCUUGGAGCUGGUCCACAGGCUGCAUCUGAUGCACUUCUAAGUUUGUCUAUAAUUCUCCUUUAAUAAACCAUCUCCUUUCCUGCAAGGAUCCAUGUGUCUCUGGACAACUCCUAAAUAGACAUGAGAAACUGGCGUCUGGGAAGGUGAAGGAAGAAAAGGGAACUGGGAGGCAUCAGGAAUGUACAACUGAAUGCAACAGCACAGGAAAUGCUUGGGUGUGGUGAUCCCCUGGGACUCAGUGACUUUGGGGAAGUUAAGUUGUGUGAAGGCUGCCAGUUUGUCUAAUCAUCUGUGCGCCCCAGAUUCAAAUCCACACUUGUAACAUCUUAGAAAGCCAGCCAUGACAGAAGGGCAGGAUGUUCCUGGGUCUCUCUCUCUCUCUCUCUCUCUCUCUCUCUCUCUCUCUCUCUCUCUCUCUCAAUAAGGCCACUGACCUAUCUCCCCCCCCCCUUAACAUUUGGAAAUGAGAGUCAGAUUUCUGAAGGUGAAUUAUCACGGACUGUGGAAAUUAGAUUCACUUUCUCUCUGUCUCUUUCCCUCUUUCCCGCUUAUGGCGCUCCACGGAUGGGGCCCAAGAGAGUCCCUAGAUCCUCUGAGAAAUGUAUGCAUUGACAGCAGCCGCUGAGCCCAGACUUAAGAGUGGGCGGCAGCUAGCAGGUGACCGUCCGUAUAGAAUCUGUGAGAUGCUUGGAUUCCACAGGGACUUGUGCCUUGACGUAGAUGGCUCAUGUUAUCAUAGGGUUGACCACUUCAGGAAAUAACCAUGUGCUAUUGUCACGAUCUUAGCUAGUGACAUCACUAACAGGGCAAGCUGAAAUUGCAACCAUCACAUGACUAGACAAAAUGGCAGUGCUCACACGACUGCUUAUAUUCCCCAGUGACACGCAUUCUGUGGGAUCAUCAUAUUCUAGAAUUCCCUGUGCUACCAGCACCCAUUUGUACAUCUCUGUCUUCUCCCAGUUUCUUUCCUUCUCUCUUUUACCCUCCAGACGCCUCCUGGGAUCACGGAAACCAGUGACCCAGACAGGACCCCAGGCACUGUGGCAGCUCUUUCCUGCUUCCUCCUUGAGACCUCCCCAGAGGCCCGCCCCUCCCUGAAAGUUUCGGUAUGAGGGGGAAAGUGAUGUUUGUGAAGUAUUGACUCCACGAUUUUACUGGCCUGUAGCUUUGGGUGCUAACACCUCCUGCAACCCCAGGCUUCAUGUCUCUUUUCCAUAGGGAUAAUCGUUCAUGGGACAAGGGCUUGAAACCUGAGGUCCCAUCACAAUGGACCUAAGUGUUAAAGAGUGAGACGCUCCAGCAGGACAGCAAAAAGUCCAUAUCUAGUGAUGUCCUGCUCCCUGCCCUGAGAAAAAGAGGGCUCAGGUGAGGCUAAGACAGUGGGUUCUUUGGCUCCUCAAGAUUCCGAAGUAUAGUUCAUACUUCAGGUCUGUUACAUCCUAACUGCUCUCAAUUCUUUGCUGUUUAUUUACUGUACACGGUCCUGUCCCUAUGGGGGACAGAGAUAAUUCCCCAGGGAAUAAGCAUUAGAGUCAAAGGAGGCAAACCCCCACCCACUUUGUUUGUUUAUUUAAUGUGUCUGAGUAUUUUGCCUGCAUAUAUGUCUGUGUACCAUGUGUGUGGCUGGUGUCCUUGGAGGUCAGGAGAGGGCAUCAGAUCUCCUGGAAAGUGGGGUUAUAUGAUUGUGAGCUGCCGCGUGGGUGCUGGGAAUCAACCCUGAGGCCUCUGGAAGGGCAGUCCCACUGUUCUGAACAAGACCUACUUUUUUUUUAAGACUAUAUAUAUUUGUGUGUGUGUGUGUGUGUGUGUGUGUACACUGUUGCUGUCACUGUCUUCAGACACACCAGAAGAGGGCAUCAGAUCCCAUUACAGAUGGCUGUGAGCCACCAUAUGGUUGCUGGGAAUUGAACUCAGGGCCUUUGGAAGAGCAGUCAGUGCUCUUAACCACUGAGCCAUCUCUCCAGCCCCGCAAGCCCCAUUCUUAAACACUAUUAAUCUGCACAACAAUUUUAAACAAAAGGACUAAAGCAAUUCAUACAAGCAAGUUGUCUCCUGUCCAAAACUAAUAGCCUUGUAGCUCAGGCAUAAUGUUUUGUUUUAUGCUAUUACUCUUUUGGAUGAG